This 1136-nucleotide long non-coding RNA is filed under the name Pandoravirus salinus. RNAcentral describes it as "putative ncRNA". The record is from RNAcentral.
GAGAGAAGGGGUCUGUUGUCUUUUUUUUUUGAAAAGUUGGCGGGCGGCAAAAGAGGGAGCCAACACACAGGCGGCUCUCGGCGAGUUUCGCGUCGUCGCCGCCGCCGCUUUUUUCCAUUUUUCGCUGCAACUGGGCCGGAUCAGGGUGCAUCGUUGCCGCGUCGCCUCCCGCGCGCGCCCGUCGGUCCGCGGCGUGCAUGGGCGGCGACGACGGCGCGGUAGCCCUCGCCCUUGUCCGUCUUGGCCUGCACGUGUCUCGACACGAAAAAGUCACGCACGGCGCCCUGCGCUACGACGCCGUCAAAGGCGUGCUUCAUGAACCAGCGGCCGAUGCGAUCGGUGAGCGCGGGGUCGUCGUCGUCGAGCCACACCUCGACGCGCAUGCUGCUCACGCGAUCGACGAGGCGCGCGCCCGUGAUGCGGUCCGAGUCGUCGCCCGUCUGCUCGCCCACGAGCGCCAACACGACCCGCUCCCACACGGCAUCGGCCUGUUGGGGCUUGAAUGCGCCUUUGAACACGACGCUGGCACCCAUGGCGUUGCGCACGUGCUCCCACUCGGGCAGCACGUUGGCGUCGAAAAAGGAAAUGCCUUCGAUGGCGCUCGCCGCACCGCCGCGGGUGCGCUCGCGGUUGGUGCCAAAGAGGGCGCUGGCCGCUGGCAGGUUGGUUUGGUGGCGCCAAAAGGAUUCGAUGGUGCCCACGGGCGUCUUGGCCAUGGGUUCCCACGUGCCCGCGUAGGACGAACCGUCGUAGCACGGACGAUGCACCCACCACUGCCAUCGGCGAUGGAGCGGAUGGCGGUCGUCAUCGCCGCCGCCGCCACCGCUGUUGGUGCACGCCGGCGCCAAGCCGGGAGGAACCGUUGGCUUUAACGGCGACGACGACGACACCACGCACCGGCCGCCCUGGGGCCGAAGCGAAAUCGUCUCGGCGUCGCAUUCGAGCGGCGCGAGCGCGCCUGCUUGGGCGACCGCGCAGCCGCUCGCCGUGGCCCGACUGCCUUGUUCUCCCUUUUUGCGCUGCAUCGCUGUCGUUGUCUUUUUUUUUUCCUGUUUUUCUCGCAAACAACUUGUUUUCCUCCUCUCAACGGCGCGAUCGGCCGGCGUCGUCGAUGCAAGGGCUGCUUUCUGUUUUCU